CACUGUCGCCAGGGGAGCCCCAAUGGGGCUGAGAAUGCGCGCAACGCAGACCCUGGAACCUGAUCCGGUUCGUACCGGCGGAGGAAGCGCGACAUGCCUUACCU
This is a non-coding RNA of Halomonas sp., 104 nucleotides long. NCBI's taxonomy places the organism in Bacteria, Pseudomonadati, Pseudomonadota, Gammaproteobacteria, Oceanospirillales, Halomonadaceae. The record is from Rfam.